CGGGGUGUGGCGCAGUCCGGUAGCGCACUAGUCUGGGGGACUAGUGGUCGGAGGUUCAAAUCCUCUCACCCCGACCA
This 77-nucleotide transfer RNA is filed under the name soil metagenome. It matches the Rfam family "tRNA". From Rfam's summary of the family: Transfer RNA (tRNA) molecules are approximately 80 nucleotides in length. Their secondary structure includes four short double-helical elements and three loops (D, anti-codon, and T loops). RNAcentral also lists the same sequence under 1 other name. The record is from RNAcentral.